RNAcentral lists this transfer RNA (66 nucleotides) under Rhizobium sp. RAS22. RNAcentral describes it as "tRNA-Ser". It matches the Rfam family "tRNA", at positions 11 to 71 of the family's 71-position model. Rfam says of the family: Transfer RNA (tRNA) molecules are approximately 80 nucleotides in length. Their secondary structure includes four short double-helical elements and three loops (D, anti-codon, and T loops). Further hydrogen bonds mediate the characteristic L-shaped molecular structure. tRNAs have two regions of fundamental functional importance: the anti-codon, which is responsible for specific mRNA codon recognition, and the 3' end, to which the tRNAs corresponding amino acid is attached (by aminoacyl-tRNA synthetases). tRNAs cope with the degeneracy of the genetic code in two manners: having more than one tRNA (with a specific anti-codon) for a particular amino acid; and 'wobble' base-pairing, i.e. permitting non-standard base-pairing at the 3rd anti-codon position. The record is from RNAcentral. Lineage: Bacteria; Pseudomonadati; Pseudomonadota; Alphaproteobacteria; Hyphomicrobiales; Rhizobiaceae.
GAUAGAAAUAGAUCACCCUGACUUUUAAUCAGUAGGUCCAGGGUUCGAAUCCCUGCGCUCUCACCA